ACUUAUUUAGUAUAUAAGUAUAUUUGACUUCCAAUCAAAUGGUCUGAAUAAUUCAGAAUAAGUA
RNAcentral lists this transfer RNA (64 nucleotides) under Siphlonurus aestivalis. RNAcentral describes it as "tRNA-Gly". It matches the Rfam family "tRNA". From Rfam's summary of the family: Transfer RNA (tRNA) molecules are approximately 80 nucleotides in length. Their secondary structure includes four short double-helical elements and three loops (D, anti-codon, and T loops). Further hydrogen bonds mediate the characteristic L-shaped molecular structure. tRNAs have two regions of fundamental functional importance: the anti-codon, which is responsible for specific mRNA codon recognition, and the 3' end, to which the tRNAs corresponding amino acid is attached (by aminoacyl-tRNA synthetases). tRNAs cope with the degeneracy of the genetic code in two manners: having more than one tRNA (with a specific anti-codon) for a particular amino acid; and 'wobble' base-pairing, i.e. permitting non-standard base-pairing at the 3rd anti-codon position. Lineage: Eukaryota; Metazoa; Arthropoda; Insecta; Ephemeroptera; Siphlonuridae. RNAcentral also lists the same sequence under 1 other name. The record is from RNAcentral.